This 1208-nucleotide long non-coding RNA is filed under the name Dromaius novaehollandiae (emu). RNAcentral describes it as "lncRNA (ENSDNVG00000003836.1)". Lineage: Eukaryota; Metazoa; Chordata; Aves; Casuariiformes; Dromaiidae. The record is from RNAcentral.
UCCCGGCCGCGGCGGCGGCAGCGCUGGACUGCGUGGUGGGGCCCUGGGGGCCCUGGGGCGGCUGCAGCUCCCGGUGCGGCGCGGGCAGCACGGCCCGCACCCGGCACGUCGCCGUCCCACCGCGGCCCGGCGGGCGGCCCUGCCCCGACCUCCGACAGCGCCGCGGCUGCCUGGGGGACGACGCGCUCUGCCGCACGGCCAAAGGUAACGGGGGGCUCCCCGCGCCCCCCCGGGCGCCACCGGCCCCCCCUCACCCCGCCGCGCGUUUGCCGGCAGAGGUGGCCAUGAUACUCCCCGACUCCUUCAAACGGCGCCCGGGGGAUGCUGCUGCGCCGCGGGCGGAUGCACCGCCGAGGUAGGUGGACGGGGGGGGGACGCGCGUCGCAACGGGGCCCCGCCGCCCCCAGACCUCGCCGCUCACCGCCGGCCUCUGCCCCGCAGCUACUGCGGGUUUUUCCGCCUGAAGCAGGUGGGAGCCGCCUGCCGCCGGGGCGCCUGGAGCAGCCGGCUGCGGCGGGAGCAGCGGGUGUGCGUGGAGUGCCGGGGGGCCGCGGGGAGCAGCCCCCGCUGCGGCGGCGACGGGCUGCCCGGAGCCAGGUAGGCUGGGGGGCUGGGGGACCCCCCGCUCCCGGGGUGGGUUCGGCGGGUCCCGCUGCAGCCGCGUUCCCCUUGCAGGACGUUCUGGACGGCCGCCGCGGUGGCGGGCUGCCAGGGCUCCUGGGUGCGGGAGGCUCUGCGGGAGCGCUGCGCCUGCCCCCGGCGCUCCCUGCUCUUCGUGUAGCCCCCCCGGCCCUGCCCGCGCCCCCCGGGAAGGCCCGCCGGAGCCGCUCUGCCCUCGAGCAGAGGGUCUUGCCCAAGGAGAGCGCGAGGAGAACGCCUGCACCCCCUUACGAAGCCCGGAAAAGAGGAAACCGCUGGAGCCGUGGCGUGGAAGUCGGCGUCGGAGGAAGGCCGGAUGAYGGCAGCGGCGCCCGGUGCGCUUCCCUCCGCGGCAGCCCGAGCCGGGCCGCGGGCGACAGCGGACGCGGUUUCUGCCCCGCGGUGGGCUUGCGCGUGGAGCACCGCUGCGGCGUCCCGUCCGCAGACCCGUCUUGGGGGACCCGCGAGUUAACGCGGCCGCGGCGAGGCAUUGCGUGGUGUGAGGGGCRCCUCGGCCCCGCUGUGCUCGGUUUGUGGAGUGAGAAUUAAAACGGGAGCCCAAAACACGG